ACUUCAUGAUUUAGGCAUUGGGCUAAUUUUCCAUUAAAUCGUUUCCAUGCUUCAAACAACAGUUCUCCAUUCAUUUAAUAAAAAUUCGUAAUCUCAUCCCGCCUUU
Non-coding RNA from Capsicum annuum, 106 nucleotides. The record is from Rfam. Lineage: Eukaryota; Viridiplantae; Streptophyta; Magnoliopsida; Solanales; Solanaceae.